AAAUUGAAGAGUUUGAUCAUGGCUCAGAUUGAACGCUGGCGGCAGGCCUAACACAUGCAAGUCGAACGGUAACAGGAAUCAGCUUGCUGAUUCGCUGACGAGUGGCGGACGGGUGAGUAAUGUCUGGGAAACUGCCUGAUGGAGGGGGAUAACUACUGGAAACGGUAGCUAAUACCGCAUAACGUCGCAAGACCAAAGAGGGGGACCUUCGGGCCUCUUGCCAUCGGAUGUGCCCAGAUGGGAUUAGCUAGUAGG
Molecule: ribosomal RNA, 255 nt
Filed under: Escherichia coli O146
Lineage: Bacteria; Pseudomonadati; Pseudomonadota; Gammaproteobacteria; Enterobacterales; Enterobacteriaceae
Description: partial 16S ribosomal RNA
Rfam family: Bacterial small subunit ribosomal RNA
Source: RNAcentral